UAGGGAAUCUUCGGCAAUGGACGAAAGUCUGACCGAGCAACGCCGCGUGAGUGAAGAAGGUUUUCGGAUCGUAAAACUCUGUUGUUAGAGAAGAACAAGGACGUUAGUAACUGAACGUCCCCUGACGGUAUCUAACCAGAAAGCAACGGCUAACUACGUGCCAGCAGCCGCGGUAAUACGUAGGUGGCAAGCGUUGUACGGAUUUAUUGGGCGUAAAGCGAGCGCAGGCGGUUUCUUAAGUCUGAUGUGAAAGGCCCCGGCUCAACCGGGGAGGGUCAUUGUAAACUGGGAUACUUGAGGGCAGAAGAAGAGAGUGGAAUUCCAUGUAUAGCAGUGAAAUGCGUAGAUAUAUGGAGGAACACCAGUGGCGAAAGCGACUCUCUGGUCUGUAACUGACGCGGAGGCUCGAAAGCGUGGGGAGCAAACAGG
This 429-nucleotide ribosomal RNA is filed under the name Gemmatimonadota bacterium. Its description in RNAcentral is "Gemmatimonadetes bacterium partial 16S ribosomal RNA". It matches the Rfam family "Bacterial small subunit ribosomal RNA", at positions 355 to 776 of the family's 1533-position model. Lineage: Bacteria; Pseudomonadati; Gemmatimonadota. The record is from RNAcentral.